This 505-nucleotide long non-coding RNA is filed under the name Pan troglodytes (chimpanzee). RNAcentral's name for it is "long non-coding RNA NONPTRT013978". The record is from RNAcentral. Lineage: Eukaryota; Metazoa; Chordata; Mammalia; Primates; Hominidae.
UUAGGAAUCGAAUGGCAGAUUCCACCUUUCAGCCGGAGCCCAAGGUUUUAUUUUUCAUUUGAGAAUUCAGAACAGAAAGCACUUCCCGGUAGUUGUUAUUUUGUGAAAAGACACAGUAAGCUGAAUUUACUGAAACAAGAGCUGCACAUGGCCAUGAAGGGUGAUCCAGUGAGAGCCACUGGGCCUUGUCUGCCCCCACCCCAUGGAGAGGCAACAGUGUCAGGAACAGAGGGCAAGGCCGAGAGAUGAGACAGAAGGGUGGGGGUGGGGAGAAGUCCCCAUGUGGAAUUAGCAUAUGUGCAGAUGAGUGCUGAUAAUGAAGACCAAGCACCAGAGAGACAGCCGGCACCUCUCUGCAGUUGCCUCCCUACUCCUAGCCCUGGGUCAGCCUCCCUCUACCCAACAAUGGGGUCGGGGAAGGCAUGGCACCCACUUUUGAGGAAGAGAAUAAAUGUCCUCACAGCAGCUGUGGAAGGGAAUGUCCAGCUCUGGGGAAGGAGGAGGG